CCGCCGGCCGCCUCCCGCCUCCGGGCAGGCUCAGGAGCGCGCGGAGCGGGGUGUGGGCCUGUGACCCUCGAAGGCGUGGGCGGGGAGUAGGGGGUCGAGCUGGGGCCGCAGGCUGUCCCCGUACGGGCUGCUCCCCUGUGGCUCCGAAGCCACCUUUUUCUGAAGUUGUCAGCCCGCGUGUUUGAGAUUUCGUUUCUGGAAUCUCACGCGAACAAUCUGGAGAGAGGAACAGGGGUCUUGCGGCUUUGGCUGUUGACUCAAGGGGAAAAUAAAAACCAGACAAUGGGGAUGUAAUGAAUGCAAAGUGACCCGUGAGCAAACUGGACGCUUUUCUCCGGCUGACAGGCAUGAGUUCUCCCCGUAGCUUGCCCCACAUACUGUGAGUUAAACUGUGUCAAAGUAAGAGCAGUUUAGCCCCACAGUUCUGAGCAAGAGUCCUUAGCGCUGACCUUCUUAGUGAAGAUACUUUGCAAUGUGUAAAAUAUUGAAUACAAAAUUAUUGUGCAAAGCUUCUGAGUUGAAGAUUCUGAGUGCGCGGAGGCUGGCGGCAGCCCUUACUUGCCAUUGCAAGGAUCUCAACUUACUACUCUGAGAGCAAAAGUAGUUGUUUCUUUACAGAUGUGGGUUUAGGGGAGACAGCUAUGGAUGAGGAACAGGGGCGGGGUUCGUUUUCUGCACAAAACGUAUGCGAUUAGAAAAAACAAAGGGUUUUUAUUCUGCCUAUCUUCUUCCAUCUCAGCCAGCAUAAGCACAUUCUUUUUUUUCUGUUGAUGAUGUAUGCUGAGUAUUUGCAGCGAUUAGGAAAAGGAAUACUCUCUAACAAGACACUUCUCUUUAAACGAGGCGGUGGAGGGAUGAUUAUGUCUUCUGUGGAAUUAACCCUCCGGCUUGAUUUUCAGUGAAGAAAAUGAGGCACGAGGAAUUGUUAACCAAGACCUUCCAAGGCCCAGCUGUUGUGUGUGGGACUCCGACCAGCCACGUAUACAUGUUUAAGAAUGGCAGUGGGGACUCGGGGGACUCUUCUGAAGAAGAGUCUCACCGUGUGGUUUUGCGGCCCCGGGGCAAGGAGCGCCACAAGAGCGGUGUCCACCAGCCUCCCCAGGCGGGAGCAGGUGACGUGGUGCUGCUGCAGCGGGAGCUGGCCCAGGAGGACAGCCUCAACAAGCUGGCGCUGCAGUAUGGCUGCAAAGUUGCAGAUAUCAAGAAAGUCAACAACUUCAUCAGAGAACAAGACUUAUAUGCUUUGAAAUCUGUUAAGAUUCCAGUGAGAAACCAUGGGAUCCUGAUGGAGACCCACAAAGAACUGAAACCCCUUCUGAGCCCGUCUUCCGAGACCACAGUGACCGUGGAACUGCCAGAGGCAGACAGAGCAGGCGCGGGCACCGGUGCCCAGGCCGGCCAACUGAUGGGCUUCUUUAAGGGGAUUGACCAGGAUAUUGAGCGUGCAGUGCAGUCAGAAAUCUUUCUACAUGAAAGUUACUGCAUGGACACCUCCCAUCAGCCACUGCUCCCGGCACCUCCGAAGACGCCUAUGGAUGGUGCAGAUUGUGGCAUUCAGUGGUGGAAUGCUGUUUUCAUCAUGCUGCUGAUUGGAAAGAUCUAGGAGAGAGGGAGAAAUUGAUGCUGCCAGAAAGAGGGGACAGUUACAGAAGCGAAGACCUUGAGAAGGAGAUGAUGAGACCCAGGAUGCAACACAGAAGGCUUGGACUUAGAUAAGGGCACCAAGGUCCCUCGACAGUGCCUGGAGGGAAGAUUCCUGGAUAUCACGUGAGAAGAAAGAGUCCGAAAGAGGUGAUACCCUGGUAACAAUAAGCACAUCUAUUGCCCAGAUCUGGUUUCCAAAUACCAUUCUCCAAUAAAGGGAACCAGGAAUAGUGGAAAAAGUGGUUGACCCAACACCACAAGAUGAGUGUGGAGCACCUGUGGUGCCAGAAAGGACAUGCUAAGGGUGUGGACAGACUCAGAUUUCACAUGGAAGGCCACCUGAUCAAGCUCCUCAUGGCCAAAGCUGGAACAAGUGGAGGAGCAAAAUAAUGACAGGAUUAUAGCCCACAGGAGAAAUAAAAUCCGAGUCCACAAUGACAUAAUGAGUAACGAAAUGAGAAGGGACAGCUGUUCCUCGCAGCAGAAUUCCAAUGAAUAAAUGUGGAAGAAAACAGGCAGCUACCACAGCUAUAGACGCUGCACAAUUAGUGGGUGAAAAUAUAACCCUGCAGUCUCAAGGUAUCUCCCCCAAUAUAUGUAUCAAUUACAAAGGGAGAGAAACUUUUUACAUUGAAGAAACCCUGUAAAAACCACUGAACCAAGUGAUCAAAGUCAGUAUCGCCUGGAAUAAGACACCAACAUGGACCCCAUGAUGCAUUAGGGACAUACCAUUUCUGUGGUUUUCCCGCCAAAAUGCACAACUUCCUUCCAAUCAUCACAUUAGACACAUCCACACCGAGCGGUAUUAGACAAAAUAACCGAUCAGUAUUCAAAAGUGUCAAAGGUUAUAUAAGAAAAGCUGUAACAAGUGACAAAGGGAAUGUGGGAUCCUGGAUUGGAUCCUAGAACAGGCAUGAGUGGAAAAAAUGGGGAGAUUCAAGUAAGGUAUUUAGUUAAAAAUGCUGUGUCAAUAUUAAUUUCUGGGUUCUCGUACUUGUACUAUGGUUAUGUAAAUGUUAGCAUUAGGGAAAGCCCGCUGAGGGAUAUGUGGAAACCACAUUAUUUUCCCAACUUUUCUGUAAGUCAAAAGUGAGUUCAAAAUGAAGUGUAUACACUAAGAGUAAAAAAAGGGGGGACUGUGUAGUGAAACCAGUCAGUACAACUGCUUUCUUUCUUCCACAGCUGCGUUUGCUUUGGUUAGCUAGAAAGCAGGCCCAUCAUGCAUCUGUAAGAAAGUGACUGGAGUGUAGGCCCUGGCGUCUAAGCCGAGUAAGAUGCCCUGUCAAUCUGGGUCCUCUGGGAAGCAAGACUGAUGAAAUGAGGAGCACCAAAGCUUUACACCCCAGCUAUGUGCAUUUGGGGCUGGGGCUGCCUGGGAAGAGCUCGUCCUCAGCCCAAAGCCUGCAACAGCUGGGAUCAGGGCUUACCUCUCACAGACGGGGCUCAGCAACUUUCUGCGGGAUGAGGACACAAGCCCACUUGACCUGGAACGUCUGAAACCUCCUGGCCCCGUGGAAGAUGGGAAGAAACACUCCUCUUCCUCUCAGUUUUACAACCGAGUGGUCCUCGGGCUGCUUGUGAGCACCGGACGACCGACCGAGCAGGCUGCAGCCAAUCAGCUGGCACAGGGCUCCGACUGAAAAUCAUCUUGGCUGGUGCCACAGAAUCGGCCUGAAAACAGGAUACUGCCUAGAGCAAGGCACCCAGGGGAGCCAAGCAGGAAAAUGUAAUGAAUUGACUUUAAGUAGCUGCAGCUGUGAUUAGAGUAUUUUUAGCCACAGGACUCAACCAGCUUUCAAAACCUGCUAAUAAGAGCCCCACCGUAGCCAGCGCAAAAAUUUAGUUUUCAGUUUAACACCAGGAAUCUGCUUAGCUAGGAGCUGGCUUAGAAGGCACAUCAGGAGAGAACAUCUUCUACUGAAAGUUGAAGAUUUUUCAUUUUCUAGCUGAAUUAUGACAAAGGGAGAUGACCAUUAAGUGCCUGCCAGCAUACUGGGACGUACACCUAACACUCUGAAAACUCAAUUCAUGCCAGCACAUCUGUCUUCUGCUGCAUCUAGCUCAGCAUCAUGUAUGUAUUUUGGGCAAAACUAAUCAUUUCACACCCUAGACUUUAAAGAGACCCAGAAUCUAAUGAUAGCUAACAUACCCACCCCCUCUAACAGGCUUUGGCGUAUUUCCUGUGAGAAGCAGUUACUGGAGGCCGAAUGGAUUCCACUCAUCCACAGCACUGUGCAUGCAACAGCCAGAUUAGGCCCCGGUGGGACUGCGUGGCCCACUGCUUCCUAUGGGCUCCAGGGCUGCCCAGCAGGGAUGACCCGGGAGCCGACAAGGGGGAGGCCAGUGGGGGCGUUGGGACGGUUUCCUUGACCCUGUCUCAACCCAGAGAAAGAAGCCUGCAGGUGAAAAAGGUCUUCGUGAAAGGAAUGAAAAAGGAGAGGGCUUUAGGGGAAGGGGCUGCCUGGUGGCAAAGCCAGCGCCUUGUGUCCCCAGGCAAACAUGACAGAGUCUCGACGCACAGGAAGAGCCAGUCCGUCUUUACUGGAGUGAGUGCGGGAGACAAACAGUUUACAACAACCUUUAGCAUUGUCUUCACCAUUUGAUAAAAAGUUCACUAUUAUAUUUAUUGUAUAAUGAAGAAAAACAACACAUUCAGGGAAAAAUUGAGAUUAACUUAUUUUUCUUAAAAGGUUCAUCUCAAGGAUGGCAACAAAGUCCAGCUUGUGCCGCCAAACGGUUUUACAUGAUCAAACCGUGUACAGCUUCUUGUGUGAACUGUUGACUACAAACAUUUACCAAAUACAUAAAUCUCUUUUAAAAAAGCCAUUUUAAAUAUAGCAAAGCAGUGUCUUCUUGCACAGCAAAGUGAAGAAAGUUUCUACAGAGAAAUAGAAGUUUUACAUUUGUAAAAUCUUUUUCACAUUCUAAUCAUCUAGCUUAAGAUCCAAUGCCAGGAGUUUUCAGCUUCCUUAUUUACUAUGUAUUUCUUGUGCGCAUGAUGGUUAAUACAGAAAUUAUGUUGAUGCAUUACUAGUUAUCCUUCUAGUUAAAGGAAAGGGUAAAACAUGUAUUGUUCUUGUAGAACAAACCCCUGAUUUAGUCUAUAACAAAAUGGACAUAAUUGGGCUCAAAAGAUGGAGUUUUGAUUGGGACCACCUGUGUACACACAACAGUGACUUCCACUCGCGGUGGAGUGGCCAUUAGAGUACUGAGGAAGGACAGCUGUUGGAAACUGUACUUUAACCAGUGCAAUUUAAGCUUUUUUUGCUUUUGUUCUUUAGUAAUAAAAUACUUCUGGAGGGAUAAAA
This is an RNA transcript of Homo sapiens (human), 4952 nucleotides long. It is a transcript of the gene named LysM domain containing 4, with no coding region annotated. The transcript is spliced from 4 exons. The record is from RefSeq and is marked validated. NCBI's taxonomy places the organism in Eukaryota, Metazoa, Chordata, Mammalia, Primates, Hominidae.